RNAcentral lists this long non-coding RNA (324 nucleotides) under Lathyrus oleraceus (garden pea). RNAcentral describes it as "Pisum sativum (pea) long non-coding RNA (PSAT_LNC022815)". The record is from RNAcentral. Lineage: Eukaryota; Viridiplantae; Streptophyta; Magnoliopsida; Fabales; Fabaceae.
UUAAGUAAAAAUGUUAAAGAAAAUGAAAUCAUAAGUUGAUUGAAAAAUAAAUGGUUAAAAAUGAAAGUAGUAAAAAAUAAGAAAAUAAAUAAAUAAAAGAAAAUUAAAUAAAAAAACAAAGGGGGGUAUGGCCCAAACAGGUCUUUGAAGGAGUAAAAACAAAAUUGAGCCCAAGGGAAGGCCCCAGAACAAAACCAUGUGUGUGAGAGAGAGAGAGUUUGAAUCAAACUCUGAAAUCUCCCUCCAACAUUGAGAUAUUUAAACAUGCUUUCCCGCCUUGUCGCGUCGGAGCUCAUCGCCGAUGGUGAUAGAGCUCCAAAAUCG